GUCACUGUGUGAAGCAAUUUGCCUUUAUUGUGUGUAGUCGAUCAAGUUAUCUUCUGUCCCGUCGUUUGAAGCAUAUAUUUUAGCUCCGGCAUUGGUCUCCCAUUAUUGAUCCCUUCACGUUUUGAUUGAAAGUCCAGUUUUGAGAAAUGUUUUAUCGUAACGGUGUUAACUAAUUAUGAGGCUCUGCCUCCCCUGACCGCACGUCCCGGUGUUACAAGCCGACUGGUUUUCAAACAUAGCUGUGCGUUCACCUAUCAGUCUGCCUCUAUCACCAGAUUCGUCACAAAUUCACAAACAUAUUAAAGCCAAAUCCAGAUUCCAAAUCAAGAUGUUACCUGAAGGCCAAGGUGAUUAAUAAGUACGUAACUGAUUUAAAGAUAUUCUAUGAGCUAGAAUAGCUCGCAGUUUAAAGCAAUGGCCUUUGGUAUAUUACGUGUUUGGUCGAGUGCGAUCGAAUCCCACUUCAUGCGAGCCUGCAAAUGUUUUAUUUUGUCGUGAAUGGUAAUGUAGUGCGCACGUAGCCUAUACUUUUAUAUUCGCCGCAGCAAAUAUGAGAUCCGACUGGAAAAUUGCCAGUAAUAUGUUUGUGAAUUUGUGACGAAUCUGGUGAUAGAGGCGGACUGAUAGGUGAACGCACAACUGGGAAACCAGUGGGUUUGAAAACCAGUUGGUAGUGAUGGGAAAUUCUGAUCCUUUUACGUACUCGGUUCUUAGAAUCUCGUUCAUGAAAGGAACGAAUAUUUUUUCGAGGGGGGGGCAUUAAAAUAUUGUAUCAUGACAGUUUGUAUGAUUUGAAAUGGUAAUUUAUUAUCACACUAUCAUUUACCAAUUAUCACGGCAAACAAUUACGCUGCACUGAACUGUAAGUACAAGUUUGUAAAGUACAAAAAAGUUAAAAUAACGAAACCUGUAAUUAUUACUUGUUAACGAAUAUCAUUCACGUCUUACUAAACCUAGUCACGCGAAAGUGAACGAGGUAAACAAAUCAAUUUAUGUUUCCUCUUCUGAGCCUAUGCAGGUCACGUGAAAAAUGAUCCAAAGACUCGUACCCGGCAGAUGAACGAAUCGUUCACCUCCCGACCGUGUCUUCGGAUCAAUGUUUCGUAUCCUUCGUUCGUGCCGGGUACGAGUCUUUUGAUCCUUGUUCACGUGACCUGCAUAGCUGGUAGCUAGAGGAAACAGACUGGGUCUUUGUACGAGUCUUUGGAUCCUUUUUCUCGUGACCUGAAUUGGUUUAGUAGAGGAAACAGUUACCUAACGAAUCUGUCUUUGAGAGGACUCAUUACUCCCGAGUCCUUGUAAGUGAACGAUUCGUUCAUUUUGAACGAAUCGUUCACGAACGACACAUCACUACCAGUUGGCUUGUAACACCUGCUCCAGACCCUGUCUAUUGUUUUAGUGCCAUUUGUUUCAUUGUGUAAACCAGCUUUCACUAGAUAAAUAAUCUACAUUCCCAUCCAUUUAAUUUAGCUGAUGAUGACGUUCAGAGUGAGACAGGUUCAGAGGCUGGUAGUCGGUCUUUGUCACAGGCGGCCACGGCCCAUCCUUUAUUCAAGGCAGGGAAAAAUAAAAUGACAGAGGAGAGGAUUAACGAAUGUCACCGAGCAGUGACUAAGUUUGUGGUGAAAGGUUUGCACCCGCUUACUACGGUAGAUGCCCCAGAUUUUCGGUAGGCUUUUUUUUUUUUACAUGCCAGCUCAAAUAAAAUGUUUAGUUGCAUGUUGUUAUUCUAACUUGCAUAGUUCUGUUUCAUUCCUUCAUCCCACUAUAUAUUUUCUAUAGGGAGAUGACAAAGAUUCUCAACCCAAGGUAUAAAGCCCCAGACAGAGACAGUUUGGCAAACCAAUUGAUCCCUGCUUGGUAUGAGGUUGAAAAGAGGAAUCUUAUGUCAGAGCUGAAGCUUGUCAAAAAGGCAGCCAUCACUGCUGAUGGAUGGACAAGUUUCAGUCAGGACCAUUAUCUAACAGUAACGCUGCACUGGGUCAGGGACGGUCAGAAUAAGGAAAAAGUCCUUAAAACUAAGGCAGUGUACCAGGCACAGACAGGGCCAGCUGUGGCAGAGGAGAUGGAUGGGAUCCUGGAGGAGUUUGAAGUGAGACUGAAGGUAGUGGCAGCCACUGUUGACAACGCAGCAAAUAUGAGUGUAGCCGUGAAGACUCUACACCUGAUCAAGUUGCCAUGUUUCGCGCACACACUGAACCUCGGAGCUCAGAAGCUGUACAACUGUACUACGAUUUCCAACUGGGUGGCAAGGAUUUGUUCUGUGGUUGUAUGGAUGAAGAUAUCCCACAUGGCCAAAGUAAUCCUCCAGGAGAAGCAAGAACUCCUAAAGCUGCCAAAGCACAUGCUCCUCUUGGAUGUGAAGACGCAGUUUUUGAGCCGUUUCCGCUCUACAUCCUAAACUCCUCCCCUCGAUGCAACCCACUUCCGUUCUGGCGGGAUGGGUUUGUUUUGCUAGUUGGCUCCGUUGUGCCGACAAAGCACUGAUAUCGCAGUGACAAAGCGGAUAUAACAUUUACAACAUGAAGAAAAGUGGUUCGGGAACGACGUGUGCGGUAGUUGGUUGCAAACACUCGAGAAAGCACCUGAACGAGUGGUUAGAUAGAGAGUGCUACGACCACAAACCAGCUACGAAGAGGCAAUGUCCAUGCGCUCCAAUGUUUACAUUUUUUCGCAAGCCUGAUACCGACUCGGAAUCAACGACGUGGCUGAAGGCAUUGAAUCUAAAGAAACCACCCCGAAAUGUUUUUGUUUGUUCCUAUCACUUUGUUGACCGAAAACCAACCAAGGAUCAUCCUUUCCCAGAGUUGUGGUUGGGAGACAAUCUCCCUCCCCAGCCAAAGAGGCGUCAAUUCACCCAGCGGACCGCUGCCUCCACCCAGAUAAAGAAACGCAGACUUGAAUCUGAGGGUGCCAAAUCUGAUGACCCGUUGUCCCCUGACUGGGUACCAUCCAUCUUUACACACACACCAGCCAUCAAGAAAAGGAUAAGAGAGAAAGACAUGGAGAGGUAUGAGCAGCACAACCGAAUGAAGAACAAGAGGGUGGAGGAGAAGAAGCCAGAUGCAGUGGAUGUCCUCCUAGAACUGUCAUCAGAGCCUCAUGCUGAGCUGGCACCACUUGAGGAGGAAGAACAACAGUGUGCCAACAGACUAUGUAGGGAAAAGACUGAAAGAUUACAAAAGGAAUGUAAUGAGCUCAGGGAGGAAAACCAAAGGUUGCGCUCAUCCAAUGUAAAGUGGAUGUAAAUACCUGAGAGAGUGUCGUUGGUUGGCAGUAGCGGUUCUAGGCACGGGUGAACCGGGCUGCCCGGGGUGGCAUGAAGAGAGGGGCGGCAUUUUUGUGUUUGGUCUAUAUUUGUAUUUAGUACUAUAACUAUUUAAUGUGAAUGAGUGGGUUGAAAGGAUUGUACUGGCCCUGGAUAGCAAAAUCAGAUGUACUGUAAGUGGGAUGGCUGAUGACUUAAAAGCACCUGGUAUCGUCUGCUUCUAUCCUAAUUUAUGUCUUUUGGAAAUAAAGAAAUCAAUGAACUUGCAAAAUGUAGAACGUAUUCU
Long non-coding RNA from Osmerus eperlanus (European smelt), 3554 nucleotides. RefSeq lists it as uncharacterized. The record is from RefSeq and is a predicted model, not a curated record. NCBI's taxonomy places the organism in Eukaryota, Metazoa, Chordata, Actinopteri, Osmeriformes, Osmeridae. The transcript has 3 exons.